Tolypothrix bouteillei VB521301 is the source of this 78-nucleotide non-coding RNA. The record is from Rfam. NCBI's taxonomy places the organism in Bacteria, Bacillati, Cyanobacteriota, Cyanophyceae, Nostocales, Tolypothrichaceae.
UUGAGCCGUGUGAGCGCGAAAGUCUCAUGCACGGUUCUUAGGGGAGGGGAGAGCGGUGACUCUCGAACCUUACCCGAC